Molecule: ribosomal RNA, 229 nt
Filed under: uncultured bacterium
Lineage: Bacteria
Description: partial 16S ribosomal RNA
Rfam family: Bacterial small subunit ribosomal RNA
Source: RNAcentral
UGCGCAGGCGGUCUUGUCCGUCAGGUGUGAAAGCUCGGGGCUCAACCCCGGAAGUGCACUUGAAACAGCAAGACUUGAAUACGGGAGGGGAAAGCGGAAUUCCUGGUGUAGAGGUGAAAUUCGUAGAUAUCAGGAGGAACACCGAUGGCGAAGGCAGCUUUCUGGACCGAUAUUGACGCUGAGGCGCGAAGGCGUGGGUAGCGAACAGGAUUAGAUACCCUGGUAGUCC